UGUGUAGGCGGCUUGUUAAGUUCCGUGUGAAAUCUCCUGGCUCAACUGGGAGGGUGCGCGGAAACUGGCGGGCUAGAGUGCGGGAUGGGAGAGUAGAAUUCCUGGUGUAGCGGUGAAAUGCGUAGAUAUCAGGAGGAAUACCGGUGGUGUAGACGGCUCUCUGGACCGUAACUGACGCUGAGACACGAAAGCGUGGGUAGCAAACAGGAUUAGAUACCCUGGUAGUCCACGCCCUAAACGAUGCAUAUUUGGUGUAGGUCAUUCAGUUGAUCUGUGCCGGAGCUAACGCGUUAAAUAUGCCGCCUGGGGAGUACAGUCGCAAGGCUGAA
This 329-nucleotide ribosomal RNA is filed under the name uncultured bacterium. RNAcentral's name for it is "bacterial SSU rRNA". It matches the Rfam family "Bacterial small subunit ribosomal RNA", at positions 568 to 898 of the family's 1533-position model. The record is from RNAcentral.